This 439-nucleotide ribosomal RNA is filed under the name uncultured bacterium. RNAcentral describes it as "partial 16S ribosomal RNA". It matches the Rfam family "Bacterial small subunit ribosomal RNA", at positions 339 to 795 of the family's 1533-position model. The record is from RNAcentral.
CUACGGGGCGCUGCAGUGAGGAAUAUUGCACAAUGGGGGGAACCCUGAUGCAGCAACGCCGCGUGGAGGAUGACGCAUUUCGGUGUGUAAACUCCUUUUAUAUGUCAAGAAAAUGACGGUAGCAUAUGAAUAAGCACCGGCUGACUCCGUGCCAGCAGCCGCGGUAAUACGGAGGGUGCAAGCGUUACUCGGAAUCACUGGGCGUAAAGGACGCGUAGGCGGGUUGGAAAGUCAGGUGUGAAAUCCUAGAGCUUAACUGUAGAACUGCACUUGAAACUUCUAAUCUAGAGUAUGGGAGGGGGAGAUGGAAUUAGUGGUGUAGGGGUAAAAUCCGUAGAUAUCACUAGGAAUACCUAAAGCGAAGGCGAUCUCCUGGAACAUUACUGACGCUAAGGCGUGAAAGCGUGGGGAGCAAACAGGAUUAGAUACCCGCGUAGUC